AAAAUACUUUUGUGGGUAAUUUUUGGAAUUGUCUCAAUAAAUAGUUUAUUAAUUUUCAGCUGUCACUAGUAGAAAUACACAAAUGUGCACCGAUAUUUGAAAAUCGGUGCAUAAAACAUAAGUCUAGACCCAAAAAAACUAAAAAUUGGCUUAAAUCAAAUUAGAAACGGUGCCCUUAAUCCCAAAAACUCGCUUCACUUCUCUUAGAUCCCUAACCCUCUUUCCCAUUAUCUCUGAUCUCUCUCGCUCUCUCUCUCUUUCUCUUUCUCUUUCAUUCUCCCCUUCCACCGCCGCCCCGCCACCGGCGACGGCCACUCUAUCUCUCUAUUUCUUACUCCACUUCUCAUUCCCUCUCCUCUGCUCGUGGUCCUCAUUUUCUCACUCCUCGUUUCUCUCUGCUUACCUCAAAGUCUCCAGAUCGAUCUACUUGGCGCAAUGAAUUGAAGUGCUGGUUAUUCAUCAUCUUCAAGAGGCAUGUCGAUUCUUAAUUUUCAUACCCUUCUGCAAGGUUAACAAUCCUUAAGCAAGAACCGAGAUUUAUCGCAGGACUUGGGAGUAUUCUCCUUCCAUUUGCUGCUGAAGAAUAAUGUGAGUUUGCCAAUGUCUGCUUAUUUUCUAAUUCCACCAUUUAUCAAUUUGAGAAUUUCUGUCUUUGCUUUCUUUUCGAUUUAAAUACUUUUUGGGGGAUAUUUAUUCCUAAAAAUUUCAUAUGCCAUACUGUCGGAAAAUGGUGUAAUGUUUGUGGAAUGGAGGGAAGAAUUUGUGUCUCAAGAGAGAGGCAGCAGGAUUGUUCAGCUUCUGGUGUAAUUUUGUGCAGCAGCAUCAUCAUAUAAUUACUAAUCAUUAGAGAGCAGCAGGCACAACAGCAACACCAACAUCAUCAUCACCAGAAGCAAAGGAUGUACUCAAGCUCGCUGAAGAAUGUCAAAGCUCUACGGUCUUGUUCGUCAAAAGAUCAGGGAAUCAAGUUGCUCAUAGGCUUAGCAAAGUUAGAGUUGAAAUUUUAAUGGUUUCAUGUUUGGCUAGAGGAUGGGGUACCCAAUGAUUUACAUGGGUUGUUUGUAAUGACCUUGAUUUUUGACUUUGUUUAAUAAAAUCGUUAAAAUCGUUUCGAUU
Long non-coding RNA from Chenopodium quinoa (quinoa), 1116 nucleotides. RefSeq lists it as uncharacterized. The transcript has 2 exons. NCBI's taxonomy places the organism in Eukaryota, Viridiplantae, Streptophyta, Magnoliopsida, Caryophyllales, Amaranthaceae. The record is from RefSeq and is a predicted model, not a curated record.